This 595-nucleotide ribosomal RNA is filed under the name uncultured bacterium. RNAcentral describes it as "bacterial SSU rRNA". It matches the Rfam family "Bacterial small subunit ribosomal RNA", at positions 9 to 603 of the family's 1533-position model. The record is from RNAcentral.
GAGUUUGAUCCUGGCUCAGGAUGAACGCUAGCGGCAGGCUUAACACGUGCAAGUCGAGGGGUAUAGUAGCAAUACUAGAGACCGGCGCACGGGUGCGUAACGCGUAUGCAAUCUACCUUUCACAGAGGGAUAGCCCAGAGAAAUUUGGAUUAAUACCUCAUAGUAUUACGAGUUCGCAUGGAUUUGUAAUUAAAGUCACAACGGUGAAAGAUGAGCAUGCGUCCCAUUAGCUAGUUGGUAAGGUAACGGCUUACCAAGGCAACGAUGGGUAGGGGUCCUGAGAGGGAGAUCCCCCACACUGGUACUGAGACACGGACCAGACUCCUACGGGAGGCAGCAGUGAGGAAUAUUGGUCAAUGGGCGCAAGCCUGAACCAGCUAUGCCGCGUGCAGGAUGACGGUCCUAUGGAUUGUAAACUGCUUUUAUACAGGAAGAAACACUCGGACGUGUCCGAGCUUGACGGUACUGGUANGAAUAAGGAUCGGCUACUCCGGGCCAGCAGNCCGCGGUAAUACGGAGGAUCCAAGCGUUAUCCNGAAUCAUUUGGGUUUAAAGGGGUCCGUAGGCGGGCUUAAUAAGUCAGGUGGGUGAAAUC